GGAGAUGUGGCUCAAGCAGUAGCGCGCUCGCCUGGCAUGCGUGCGGCCUGGGUUCAAUCCCCAGCACCACCU
This 72-nucleotide transfer RNA is filed under the name Ictidomys tridecemlineatus (thirteen-lined ground squirrel). RNAcentral's name for it is "Spermophilus tridecemlineatus (thirteen-lined ground squirrel) tRNA". It matches the Rfam family "tRNA". From Rfam's summary of the family: Transfer RNA (tRNA) molecules are approximately 80 nucleotides in length. Their secondary structure includes four short double-helical elements and three loops (D, anti-codon, and T loops). Lineage: Eukaryota; Metazoa; Chordata; Mammalia; Rodentia; Sciuridae. The record is from Rfam by way of RNAcentral.